AGAGUUUGAUCAUGGCUCAGAUUGAACGCUGGCGGCAUGCCUAACACAUGCAAGUCGAACGGAGGUAGGGGCAACUCUACUUCAGUGGCGGACGGGUGAGGAAUGCGUCGGAAUCUACCCUAUGGUGGGGGAUAACACAGGGAAACUUGUGCUAAUACCGCAUGAUGUCGAGAGACCAAAGCAGGGGACCGCAAGGCCUUGCGCGAUAGGAUGAGCCGACGCCCGAUUAGCUAGUUGGUAGGGUAAUGGCCUACCAAGGCGACGAUCGGUAGCUGGUCUGAGAGGAUGAUCAGCCACACUGGGACUGAGACACGGCCCAGACUCCUACGGGAGGCAGCAGUGGGGAAUAUUGGACAAUGGGCGAAAGCCUGAUCCAGCAAUGCCGCGUGUGUGAAGAAGGCCUGCGGGUUGUAAAGCACUUUUGUUCGGGAAGAAAACGGAUCGGUUAAUACCCGGUUCGGAUGACGGUACCGAAAGAAUAAGCACCGGCUAACUUCGUGCCAGCAGCCGCGGUAAUACGAAGGGUGCAAGCGUUAAUCGGAAUUACUGGGCGUAAAGCGUGCGUAGGCGGCUUCUUAAGUCGGAUGUGAAAUCCCCGGGCUUAACCUGGGAAUGGCAUCCGAUACUGGGGAGCUGGAGUUUGGGAGAGGGUGGUGGAAUUCCCGGUGUAGCGGUGAAAUGCGUAGAGAUCGGGAGGAACAUCAGUGGCGAAGGCGGCCACCUGGCCUAAAACUGACGCUGAGGCACGAAAGCGUGGGGAGCAAACAGGAUUAGAUACCCUGGUAGU
Molecule: ribosomal RNA, 787 nt
Filed under: uncultured bacterium
Lineage: Bacteria
Description: bacterial SSU rRNA
Rfam family: Bacterial small subunit ribosomal RNA
Source: RNAcentral